UAUUAGCUUUUAUUUACUGACAUGAUCUCUUGUGUUUUGUUGUAAAUCAGAUGCAUUCACUUUUUUUUUUUUAUCAUUACAGCACCAGACGGACAGUCUCCUUCACGCUCAGUCUCUCUCAUAGCGUUGAUCUCUGUUGGAUCUCUGUUGAUUUUAGUUGGAGUCGGGAUCUUCUGCAUCUGCAGGAAAUAUAGAAAAACUGAUCAAGUGUUACCUACUGGAAAUAUUGUUGAUGUUGAUGAUGCAACAGUUCAGACUCAUGAUGAAGAGAUCAUUUACGCUGAUCCGACAUUUUACAAAAGAAAUUCACAAAAAAUGGUGGCUAAAGAGGAGAAUCACACUGAGUAUGCGCCUGUCUGCAUAAGAUGAAGAAACUAUCUUUAAUCUUUUCCUGAGUACAAGUCUCUUUCACUACACAUUUGGAUUCAUUAUGUGAUUUCUGAUCUUUAGAAGCUGUGGACAAGUUUAGAGAUUGUUGAGAAUCCAUGCAGACAUACAGUGGGGAUCGAAAG
Ctenopharyngodon idella (grass carp) is the source of this 512-nucleotide long non-coding RNA. RefSeq lists it as uncharacterized. The record is from RefSeq and is a predicted model, not a curated record. NCBI's taxonomy places the organism in Eukaryota, Metazoa, Chordata, Actinopteri, Cypriniformes, Xenocyprididae. The transcript has 3 exons.